CGUCAGUAUAUCGUCGCAAACAGGUGUGUAACUAACACCCUCUUUCUUAGUCUAGAUCGGUAAAAGUCGAAAAGCUGAAAUGCCGAAAACCGGUAUUUUGUAGAUUUGCGAGUGUGCGAAUGCUCGUGAGGAAAUCCCCAACCAUAGUGGGCUUGGAGCUGUGAAGGUAUUUGGAGUGGCCACCCGUUUUGAAAGUUUGAUUUUCUUCUGGUGAACUGGACAUCCUUUUAAUUACGUUUGAGGUUUUGGGCUUUUAAAUGUAAUAAGGCCGCUUAUUUAUUUUUGAUGGUUUUUAAUAUGUAUUACUAAGAUAGGUAUUACUUAUUUUAACUGUUGAAAUUGGAUAGCUUUAGGGCGCGUUUUCAAAAACAA
This is a long non-coding RNA of Gossypium arboreum, 372 nucleotides long. RefSeq lists it as uncharacterized. NCBI's taxonomy places the organism in Eukaryota, Viridiplantae, Streptophyta, Magnoliopsida, Malvales, Malvaceae. The record is from RefSeq and is a predicted model, not a curated record. The transcript is spliced from 2 exons.